CAUGUAGGCGGCCCUGCAAGCGUCGUGUGAAAUCCCUGGGCUCAACCGAGGAAUUGCAUGGCGAACUGCUGGGCUUGAGGCAAGUAGGGGCGUGUGGAACUCUUGGUGGAGCGGUGGAAUGCGUAGAUAUCAAGAGGAACGCCGGUGGCGAAGGCGACACGCUGGGCUUGUCCUGACGCUGAGAUGCGAAAGCUAGGGUAGCGAACAGGAUUAGAUACCCUGGUAGUCC
This 229-nucleotide ribosomal RNA is filed under the name uncultured bacterium. RNAcentral describes it as "partial 16S ribosomal RNA". It matches the Rfam family "Bacterial small subunit ribosomal RNA", at positions 568 to 796 of the family's 1533-position model. The record is from RNAcentral.